Non-coding RNA from Triticum aestivum (bread wheat), 135 nucleotides. The record is from Rfam. NCBI's taxonomy places the organism in Eukaryota, Viridiplantae, Streptophyta, Magnoliopsida, Poales, Poaceae.
UUUCUACUCCCUCCGUCCGAAAAUACUUGUCAUCAAAAUGGAUAAAAAGAGAUGUAUCUAAAACUAAAAUACAUCUAGUUACAUUUCCUUUUAUCAAUUUUUAUGACAAGUAUUUCCGGACGGAGGGAGUAUUUG